GGGUAGAGCACUGUUUCGGCUAGGGGGCCAUCCCGGCUUACCAACCCGAUGCAAACUGCGAAUACCGGAGAAUGUUAUCACGGGAGACACACGGCGGGUGCUAACGUCCGUCGUGAAGAGGGAAACAACCCAGACCGCCAGCUAAGGUCCCAAAGUCAUGGUUAAGUGGGAAACGAUGUGGGAAGGCCCAGACAGCCAGGAUGUUGGCUUAGAAGCAGCCAUCAUUUAAAGAAAGCGUAAUAGCUCACUGGUCGAGUCGGCCUGCGCGGAAGAUGUAACGGGGCUAAACCAUGCACCGAAGCUGCGGCAGCGACGCUGAUGCGUUGUUGGGUAGGGGAGCGUUCUGUAAGCCUGCGAAGGUGGCCUGUGAGGGUUGCUGGAGGUAUCAGAAGUGCGAAUGCUGACAUAAGUAACGAUAAAGCGGGUGAAAAGCCCGCUCGCCGGAAGACCAAGGGUUCCUGUCCAACGUUAAUCGGGGCAGGGUGAGUCGACCCCUAAGGCGAGGCCGAAAGGCGUAGUCGAUGGGAAACGGGUUAAUAUUCCCGUACUUGGUGUUACUGCGAAGGGGGGACGGAGAAGGCUAUGUUGGCCGGGCGACGGUU
Molecule: ribosomal RNA, 602 nt
Filed under: Salmonella enterica
Lineage: Bacteria; Pseudomonadati; Pseudomonadota; Gammaproteobacteria; Enterobacterales; Enterobacteriaceae
Also listed under: 1 other name
Description: partial 23S ribosomal RNA
Rfam family: Bacterial large subunit ribosomal RNA
Source: RNAcentral